UGUGUACUCCCUCCGUUCCAAAAUACUUGACUUCCAUUUGUCCAAAAAUGGAUGUACCUAUAUAGUAAAACAUGUCUAGAUACAUAUAUAUUUUGACAAAUAGAAGGCAUGUAUUGUGCAACGGAGGGAGUAGAAU
Molecule: non-coding RNA, 136 nt
Organism: Triticum aestivum (bread wheat)
Lineage: Eukaryota; Viridiplantae; Streptophyta; Magnoliopsida; Poales; Poaceae
Source: Rfam